This 519-nucleotide ribosomal RNA is filed under the name uncultured Acaulospora. RNAcentral describes it as "SSU rRNA". It matches the Rfam family "Eukaryotic small subunit ribosomal RNA", at positions 569 to 1088 of the family's 1831-position model. Lineage: Eukaryota; Fungi; Glomeromycota; Glomeromycetes; Diversisporales; Acaulosporaceae. The record is from RNAcentral.
AGCAGCCGCGGUAAUUCCAGCUCCAAUAGCGUAUAUUAAAGUUGUUGCAGUUAAAAAGCUCGUAGUUGAAUUUCGGAAUCUGUCCGUUGGUCGGGCUUAACUGUCCGUACUGAUGUGAUGGGUUCUUACCUUCUGAAUAACCAUCAUGCCAUUAAUUUGGUGUUGGGGAAGCAGGACUAUUACCUUGAAAAAUUAGAGUGCUCAAAGCAGGCUAGCGCCUGAAUACAUUAGCAUGGAAUAAUAAAAUAGGACGGCAUGGUUCUAUUUUGUUGGUUUCUAGGAUCACCGUAAUGAUUAAUAGGGAUAGUUGGGGGCAUUAGUAUUCAAUUGUCAGAGGUGAAAUUCUUGGAUUUAUUGAAGACUAACUUCUGCGAAAGCAUUUGCCAAGGAUGUUUUCAUUAAUCAAGAACGAAAGUUAGGGGAUCGAAGACGAUCAGAUACCGUCGUAGUCUUAACCAUAAACUAUGCCGACUAGGGAUCGGACGAUGUUAAUUUUAUAAUGGCUCGUUCGGCGUACCG